UGAUGGAUAACAGGUCGGAGUGUCU
Molecule: non-coding RNA, 25 nt
Filed under: Rattus norvegicus (Norway rat)
Lineage: Eukaryota; Metazoa; Chordata; Mammalia; Rodentia; Muridae
Source: RNAcentral